GAUGAACGCUGGCGGCGUGCUUAACACAUGCAAGUCGAACGAAGCACUUUAUUUGAUUUCCUUCGGGACUGAUUAUUUUGUGACUGAGUGGCGGACGGGUGAGUAACGCGUGGGUAACCUGCCUUGUACAGGGGGAUAACAGUUGGAAACGGCUGCUAAUACCGCAUAAGCGCGCAGCAUCGCAUGAUGCAGUGUGAAAAACUCUGGUGGUAUAAGAUGGACCCGCGUUGGAUUAGCUAGUUGGUGAGGUAACGGCCCACCAAGGCGACGAUCCAUAGCCGACCUGAGAGGGUGACCGGCCACAUUGGGACUGAGACACGGCCCAAACUCCUACGGGAGGCAGCAGUGGGGAAUAUUGCACAAUGGGCGAAAGCCUGAUGCAGCGACGCCGCGUGAGCGAAGAAGUAUUUCGGUAUGUAAAGCUCUAUCAGCAGGGAAGAUAAUGACGGUGCCUGACUAAGGAGCACCGGCUAAAUACGUGCCAGCAGCCGCGGUAAUACGUAUGGUGCAAGCGUUAUCCGGAUUUACUGGGUGUAAAGGGAGCGCAGGCGGUGCGGCAAGUCUGAUGUGAAAGCCCGGGGCUCAACCCCGGUACUGCAUUGGAAACUGUCGUACUAGAGUGUCGGAGGGGUAAGCGGAAUUCCUAGUGUAGCGGUGAAAUGCGUAGAUAUUAGGAGGAACACCAGUGGCGAAGGCGGCUUACUGGACGAUAACUGACGCUGAGGCUCGAAAGCGUGGGGAGCAAACAAGAUUAGAUACCCUGGUAGUCCACGCCGUAAACGAUGAAUAAUAGGUGUUGGGAAGCAUUGCUUCUCGGUGCCGUCGCAAACGCAGUAAGUAUUCCACCUGGGGAGUACGUUCGCAAGAAUGAAACUCAAAGGAAUUGACGGGGACCCGCACAAGCGGUGGAGCAUGUGGUUUAAUUUGAAGCAACGCGAAGAACCUUACCAAGUCUUGACAUCCUUCUGACCGGUACAUAACCGUACCUUCUCUUCGGAGCAGGAGUGACAGGUGGUGCAUGGUUGUCGUCAGCUCGUGUCGUGAGAUGUUGGGUUAAGUCCCGCAACGAGCGCAACCCUUAUCUUUAGUAGCCAGCGGUCAGGCCGGGCACUCUAGAGAGACUGCCAGGGAUAACCUGGAGGAAGGCGGGGAGGACGUCAAAUCAUCAUGCCCCCUACGACUUGGGCUACACACGUGCUACAAUGGCGUAAACAAAGGGAAGCAAAGCUGUGAAGCCGAGCAAAUCUCAAAAAUAACGUCUCAGUUCGGACUGUAGUCUGCAACCCGACUACACGAAGCUGGAAUCGCUAGUAAUCGCAGAUCAGAAUGCUGCGGUGAAUACGUUCCCGGGUCUUGCACA
Molecule: ribosomal RNA, 1360 nt
Filed under: uncultured bacterium
Lineage: Bacteria
Description: bacterial SSU rRNA
Rfam family: Bacterial small subunit ribosomal RNA
Source: RNAcentral